GGCUCUGUAGUGUAGCGGUUAUCACCCGGGAUUCUGAUGAAUCCUAAUCAGUAUUCCCGUGACCCAGGUUCGAUCCCUGGCAGGGCCU
This is a non-coding RNA of Schizophyllum amplum, 88 nucleotides long. The record is from the annotation of a GenBank genome assembly. NCBI's taxonomy places the organism in Eukaryota, Fungi, Basidiomycota, Agaricomycetes, Agaricales, Schizophyllaceae.